AGUGAACGCUGGCGGUAGGCCUAACACAUGCAAGUCGAACGGCAGCACAGUAAGAGCUUGCUCUUACGGGUGGCGAGUGGCGGACGGGUGAGGAAUACAUCGGAAUCUACUUUUUCGUGGGGGAUAACGUAGGGAAACUUACGCUAAUACCGCAUACGACCUACGGGUGAAAGCAGGGGAUCUUCGGACCUUGCGCGAUUGAAUGAGCCGAUGUCGGAUUAGCUAGUUGGCGGGGUAAAGGCCCACCAAGGCGACGAUCCGUAGCUGGCCUGAGAGGAUGAGCGGCGACAUUGUAACUGCGCCACGGUACAGACUACUACGGGCGUCAGCAGUGGGUGAUAUUGGACAAUGGGCGCAGGCCUGAUCCAGUCAUACCGCGUGAGUGAAGAAGGCCUUCGGGUCGUAAAGCCCUUUUGUUGGGACAGAAAAGCAGCAGGUUAAUACCCCGCUGUUCUGACGGUACCCAAAGAAUAAGCACCGGCUAACUUCGUG
RNAcentral lists this ribosomal RNA (492 nucleotides) under uncultured bacterium. RNAcentral's name for it is "partial 16S ribosomal RNA". It matches the Rfam family "Bacterial small subunit ribosomal RNA", at positions 29 to 507 of the family's 1533-position model. The record is from RNAcentral.